GACGAACGCUGGCGGCGUGCUUAACACAUGCAAGUCGAACGGAAAGGCCCUUCGGGGUACUCGAGUGGCGAACGGGUGAGUAACACGUGGGUGAUCUGCCCUGCACUUUGGGAUAAGCCUGGGAAACUGGGUCUAAUACCGAAUAGGACCGCGCGCUUCAUGGUGUGUGGUGGAAAGCUUUUGCGGUGUGGGAUGGGCCCGCGGCCUAUCAGCUUGUUGGUGGGGUAAUGGCCUACCAAGGCGACGACGGGUAGCCGGCCUGAGAGGGUGACCGGCCACACUGGGACUGAGAUACGGCCCAGACUCCUACGGGAGGCGGCAGUGGGGAAUAUUGCACAAUGGGCGCAAGCCUGAUGCAGCGACGCCGCGUGAGGGAUGACGGCCUUCGGGUUGUAAACCUCUUUCACCAGGGACGAAGCGCAAGUGACGGUACCUGGAGAAGAAGCACCGGCCAACUACGUG
Molecule: ribosomal RNA, 462 nt
Filed under: uncultured bacterium
Lineage: Bacteria
Description: partial 16S ribosomal RNA
Rfam family: Bacterial small subunit ribosomal RNA
Source: RNAcentral